GCAUAUCAAUAAGCGGAGGAAAAGAAAAUAACAAUGAUUCCCCCAGUAACUGCGAGUGAAGAGGGACAAGCUCAAAUUUUAAAUCUGUCAGGUGAUACCUGGCCGAGUUGUAAUUUGAAGAAGCGUUUUCCGCGCGUUCUGGUCAGCCCAAGUUCCUUGGAACAGGGCAUCAUGGAGGGUGAGAGUCCCGUUCGGUUGAUCAGGUGCGUUUUACGAUACGCUUUCAAAGAGUCAAGUUGUUUGGGAUUGCAGCUUAAAAUGGGAGGUAAAUUUCUCCUAAGGCUAAAUACCGGCGAGAGACCGAUAGCGAACAAGUACCGUGAGGGAAAGAUGAAAAGAAUUUUGAAAAGAAAGUUAAACAGUACGUGAAAUUGUUGAAAGGGAAACGAUUGAAGCCAGUCGUACCGACGGGAAAUCAACUUCUCGAGUGCCUAUCGCGGGUGACAUUGAGCCUCACGGCCUUCGUUGCUUGUGUUGUUGGUGCUUUUGGGGUGUACUUUUCCGUAUGGUAGGUCAGCAUCGAUUUCGUUCGUCAUAAAAUGAUCGGGGGAAUGUAGCUUCGGUCUCGUAUCGGAGUGUUAUAGACCUUGGUAGAUGUGACGAUUGGGAUCGAGGAUUGCAACGAAUACCCUUUUGGGCUAUCCGUCUGGCCUCUGAAAGUCGCUCGGGUGUCGAAAGCGUGCUUACGGCUAUCUGAGUUGGCGGUCAACAGGUUAGAACGUGGUUACAUUCGUUAANGAUGUUGACGUA
RNAcentral lists this ribosomal RNA (750 nucleotides) under uncultured Glomerales. RNAcentral's name for it is "LSU rRNA". It matches the Rfam family "Eukaryotic large subunit ribosomal RNA", at positions 38 to 633 of the family's 3401-position model. The record is from RNAcentral. Lineage: Eukaryota; Fungi; Glomeromycota; Glomeromycetes; Glomerales; Glomeraceae.